Molecule: long non-coding RNA, 1772 nt
Organism: Numida meleagris (helmeted guineafowl)
Lineage: Eukaryota; Metazoa; Chordata; Aves; Galliformes; Numididae
Exons: 6
Source: RefSeq, a predicted model, not a curated record
UGAUGGCUCUUUAACUCGGCACAAGUGUCCUGUAUGCUGUGCAGCAGGUGUCUGGAUUGCAGACUUGUUUUCAGCUUGUAAUGGACAAGGAUAGAUGGUCUGCUGUAUUCAGGGAAUCCUGACCAUAGAAAUUGGAGCAGAUUUUUGCAGGAAAGAAGGUCAUUGAAGAGUGUUUCUACAGCUUUCUCCUGGGUGUCACACCUUGGAGGAUAAUUAACUAGUUAAAUCUGAGCAGAACACAACCCCUUUGAAAAUUCCCUAAGUUUUCAUUCUCCUUCAUCCUGUGACUUCUGUAAAAGUGUUUCAACUUUUUGCCUGUUGUAGGUGAGGAAGUGCCUAAAAAUGUACACAAGGUGAUAAGUGGCAUGCUCAGUGGAGGUAGAGUUAACCUGGGAAAGGCUCAGCCUUUACAGUGGCCCUUCCUCCCCCCAGAUUAUGAAGUUCUUAAAAAGAGCUAGUCAGGUUUCUUUGCAGGCUUUGGUGUAUCUGAUGAAAGGGGAGUCUCUGUAUAGCAGCUUUUGUGUUCCUAAGCUCUAGAAAUCUUGGAACCAUUUGCUCUUUCUACACUGAGCUGACUACAGCUUCAGGGCAGAAGAGAAGAAAGGAAAUUUUGCAAGGUCUCUGAACCGUGGAGCAGACAGCCCCUCUGACUUUGGAUCUGAAUCAGACAUAGCAGUUCAUCAUCUGAACAGAGACAGGAUCAAUGCUGAAGUGUAACUGUGAGAAAUAAGAAGCCUGUGUGUUCAUCCUCACAGAUCCAGCUGGAAGGACGAUAUCUUCAGGGAUAUUUCUAUCUCCCUGCAAUAAUUCAAAUGACUAUUGGAACAACGAGUGAUACAAACAAGACUACUUCCAAAUUUUCCAGCUCUAAUCCCGUCUCACGGUGGAAGCCAAAGUCUGUGGAGCAAAUCAGAAGAGCAAAUCUGAUCUAAUUUGAGUAUAUUGUGUAAGCAAGACUGUGUAAGCAAGUUACGUUUUGUGAAAAACUUUGUCUUAGUUAAGGGGGAAGAGCCCAAGGAAGCAGGUUCUGCUGAACUUCAGUUCCACAGCUCCAUGCCUCUGUUUGCACAUCAGUGAAUGUGUGUUUGUCUACAAAAUCCUCAUUAAGUUCUGCCCCCUUCACUGGAAACUGCAAAGUUCUUCAUUUCAGUAUGCGGCCACUUUUGACCAGUACAAGAGCACAUUAAAAACACAGCAUUUCUGAGGAAUCCCAUCUGAAUCUUUGCUGCAUUAGUACGAACAUUCAGAGAAGAGAUUCUUCUGGUGUUCUGUGGUUGGAAUCAGCUUCAGGCAUGGUUUAGGUGUAUAAUAGUUUAUGAGUGUUUCCUGAAAUGGUGAGGUGAAAUAAAAAUUAAAAAAAUAAUAAUAAUGAAUGAAAAGGACUCAAUUUUGAAUGUUAACACUGUAUGAAGUAACACUAGAAGCUGUGUUUUGUGUUAUGUGUAAGACUGUUCUGUCAGAGAUCUCUAGGCUGAGCCAUGGUUGGUAAAAUAUAGGAAGCCUGCUUUGAAUAACAGAUCACAGAACAAACCAUGCUUGCCUUUCUCCUUGUCUAUGCUGGAAAAGACUUAGGAUUUAAAGUCUCAAUCAAUCAUUGAUUUGUUUGGAAGUGAAGGAAGCUGAAAUUAGUCUAGGCUCCUACGUAUCUUUGCAAAAAUUGGUUAAGCCCUAUUUUUUUAAGAAGAAUUUAGAAUCAAAGAAUCAUUAGGGUUAGAAAAGGCCUCCAAGAUCACCAAGUGCAAUCAUCAGCCCAUCCCCACCAUGCCCACUGA